This 920-nucleotide ribosomal RNA is filed under the name uncultured marine bacterium. RNAcentral describes it as "bacterial SSU rRNA". It matches the Rfam family "Bacterial small subunit ribosomal RNA", at positions 8 to 916 of the family's 1533-position model. The record is from RNAcentral.
AGAGUUUGAUCCUGGCUCAGGAUGAACGCUAGCGGCAGGCUUAACACAUGCAAGUCGAGGGGUAACAGGGGUUGCUUGCAACCCGCUGACGACCGGCGCACGGGUGCGUAACGCGUAUGCAACCUACCUUUCUACAGGGGGAUAGUCAAUAGAAAUGUUGAAUAAUACCCCAUACGAUCAUUAAUCUGCAUGGAUUGAUGAGGAAGGUUCCGGCGGUAGAAGAUGGGGCAUGCGUCCUAUUAGUUAGUUGGUAAGGUAACGGCUUACCAAGACGUCGAUAGGUAGGGGUCCUGAGAGGGAGAUCCCCCACACUGGUACUGAGACACGGACCAGACUCCUACGGGAGGCAGCAGUGAGGAAUAUUGGACAAUGGAGGCAACUCUGAUCCAGCCAUGCCGCGUGCAGGAAGACGGCCCUAUGGGUUGUAAACUGCUUUUAUACAGGAAGAAUAGUACCUACGUGUAGGUAUUUGACGGUACUGUACGAAUAAGGAUCGGCUAACUCCGUGCCAGCAGCCGCGGUAAUACGGAGGAUCCAAGCGUUAUCCGGAAUCAUUGGGUUUAAAGGGUCCGUAGGCGGUCUGAUAAGUCAGAGGUGAAAUCCUGCAGCUCAACUGUAGCAUUGCCUUUGAUACUGUUAGACUUGAGUUAUUGUGAAGUAGUUAGAAUGUGUGGUGUAGCGGUGAAAUGCAUAGAUAUCACACAGAAUACCGAUUGCGAAGGCAGAUUACUAACAAUACACUGACGCUGGGGGACGAAAGCGUGGGUAGCGAACAGGAUUAGAUACCCUGGUAGUCCACGCCGUAAACGAUGGAUACUAGCUGUUCGACCAACAUGGGUUGGUUGAGUGGCUAAGCGAAAGUGAUAAGUAUCCCACCUGGGGAGUACGCUCGCAAGAGUGAAACUCAAAGGAAUUGACGG